RNAcentral lists this ribosomal RNA (229 nucleotides) under uncultured bacterium. RNAcentral describes it as "partial 16S ribosomal RNA". It matches the Rfam family "Bacterial small subunit ribosomal RNA", at positions 91 to 334 of the family's 1533-position model. The record is from RNAcentral.
UAAAGUGGCGCACGGGUGAGUAACACGUGACUAACCUACCCUCGAGUGGGGAAUAACCUAGAGAAAUCUGGGCUAAUACCGCAUAACACUUACGAGUCAAAGCAGCAAUGCGCUUGAGGAGGGGGUCGCGGCAGAUUAGCUAGUUGGCGGGGUAAUGGCCCACCAAGGCGAUGAUCUGUAUCCGGCCUGAGAGGGCGCACGGACACACUGGAACUGAAACACGGUCCAG